UAAAAAUCUGAGGAAAGUAGCUUGUGAAGGUAAGAAUAGGAGAAGCACCUUAGGGUGUUGAGAAAGAUGGCCUGGAGGGGGAGAAACUGACUGGAGGGGGAGAAUAAGGAGGUUGUAAAACCCGGAAGGUUAAGCUAAAGAUAAGCUUCAUCUACCUCCUGGUUCAUGCAAGACCUGUCUUAACAAAUUUCUGAACCGAGAUACAUAAUUUUCUUACACUGAUGACACGUUGCUUGAGGGCUGAUGCUAUCCAAGAUUAUCUACUAAAGGGCAGAAGAAACAGAACCAGAUCUGGAAAGAGUCUGGCCAGGGCUCAGCUGUGAGAGUGAAGGGAAGGAGCCCAGGGCUUACAGUGAGGUAGUUGGGGCAUUCUCUGAGCGCAGAGAUCUUUCAACUUCUCUUAAAUUCAUUUAAAAAUAGAUACACAAUGCUUUGCUGACCAUUCCAGUGUCCUUAAAGAAUAAAUCUGUGGCCAUUUUCCCUAUUGUCAUCGUGAAGACACAUUUGCUCUCAAUUGAUCCAUGAAGAGGGCUAUUCUGGGCACUUUAAAAAGCAGGUUAAUAAAGUAGAAAUGGUUUCUUUUUCUCUAAGAGCUUGCAGAUUGUGAGAGAGAAUAGUUUAAAAGCUUACUUUGUGUAAAAACAGAAAUUAUAGAACGUAGCUUCUCACAGUGAAGUGCUGAACGACCAUGUGAUGAUCCAAUUGGUUAAAAACACCCCUUAAUUGAGUUUAGGUCACUAACUUUGGCGUUGCCCCCCACGGUAGCCCAUAUUUCAAGAAUAUUCAAUAUUAAAUGCAUCCAGAUUAAUUUAAUAAUCCAUUUAAAGUAACAAUGAUGGAGAAUUGUCAUAAAAUUUUCCAUCCAGGUUAAAUUUUUUCUUCAAAAGAGCAUUAUGUUUAUAAGAUUAAAAACAAAUAAUUCAAGCUCUAAAAGUUACUUUUCCCUACAAAAAAACUAUUGUGAAAUUCUAUUUUUUUUUCAAAGCAGAGAGUAACAAAAGCAGGGGGAAGGUAGGAAAGGAACAGAAAAGUGGAUUUAAGAGAUAAUGUAUUGCAUUUAAAGAAUUUGAAUGCCAUUACUUUUCAUCACUUAACUUUUCAAAGAACACUUUCAGCUUCCUUAUUUGCAUGUUUCAUUGUUUUCCAGCCUUUAAGCACUGUAUGUUUAAAAUGCAAAUGGAAUAAUAUAAGAAAAAUGAGAAGUAAUACUUGGAAAUGUUCUGUGAAAAUGUUGAAAGAGGGCCUGGUUUCCAUCUGAUUGAAAGGAGGUGAGGCUUGAGAGAGCAAUCAGACUGGAUAUAUUUAUUUUACCUUAAGGUCUAACUAGUAGCCCAUUGCUAGUCCUCUUUCUCUUGUGUACUGUUGAAAAUUAGUUAACAUUUCCUUUUUCAUGACUCUCUUAUUAUUUAUUUAUUUCUCUUAUUCUUCACAUUAGGUACCUAUCAAUCAGUUAACCUCAAUUCAAUGAACAUUUAUUGAGCACUUAUUAACUAGCCAUUGUCAUAUCUGGAAUGUAGAAUCAAUAGUUCUCUAUUAAGAAAAGCAGGGUUUGGAUAAGAGACAAACAUGGGGAAACAUUUGUCAGCCUCCUGCUCCACCCCUUUUGAUAUCUGACUCUCCACUGGAUGGGCUAAAAAAUCAGACGUCUUGGGUUGGAGUCCUGCAUUGCCAUUUCUCAAACAUGCUACUUACCUUCUCUGAGCCUCCAUCUCCUCACCUGUAAAAGGGAAUGAUAACAUCUUUGGUGGCUGUGAUGACUGAGACAAUACAAAUAAGAUGCUUAUAGCAAUAGCGCAGAUGAUCUCUUUCCUUUGGUUUGUGAUGCAACAAAGAAAGUGUAGGGUGACCAGACAUCAUAGUUUGCCUGAGACUGAUGAAUUUCCUGGGACAUGGUUCUGUCAGUUUUAAAAUGGAAUGGUGCCAGACAAAUCUGGAUGAAGUUGUCAGCCUAGAGACAGAAGGAUGUGUAUUCAGUUAGUCUUAAUCCCAACUUGAAUAAAUCAAAUUACAUGCUAGAAGAACAAAGUUAUACUGGGGCAUAGAGCACAGCAUAGCAAAUUCCUUCACAAAGAAGAAGGAAAGAGCAUGUCAUACAGAGGGAGCUGAAGAAGCAAAGGCAUGGAGCUGUGCUUCUAGAAACAUAUUCUAUCUUCAGAAUCAAACUGGCGUCAGUGCUGAGAUCUAAGCCACAAGCUCAUGCUAGGAGAAAUAUUCUUACCUUGAAAAAACACAUACAAUUUAUUAAAUCAAAGAAAUCAGCAACAGCUGUGUGGAAGAUAAAGAUAAAGAAGAAAUAAUUUGUGGAAGAAAUAUUUUGGGACACUUUCCUCCUCUGGCAACUUUCCCUUAAUACAUACAAAAGAAAGAAAUGGGUCAGCAUCCCCACUCCGGAAUGGUUGCGUAAGCAAGAGGAGUCUUUUAAAGGUGAGAGUGGAUGUAGGUAUUUAGAUUUGGGUCUCUUGUGGGCCUAAGUGUCUCCUGUUCAUGUGCCUUCUCUAGAGAUAUAGUCUGUGAGAUCUCAUUUUUUUUGAGACAGCCCCAAGUACCGAAAACAUAGACUUUUUUUUUUCCUUGAGAGCACAAUGGAAGCCUCUAUUUUUAUCUUGGCUGGAAAUGAAAGGGAAUGCUUCCAAAUGUUUCAAAUCUUCAGAUGUCUUUAGUUUGGAUGGAAUAAUAUGAAAGAUGAAGGCUGGCGGGGAUGUGAUUGAAGUCUAUAAAGUCACGAAGGGUCUGAGCAGGGUGAAUACAGAUUUGCUCACCAAAUCUCUGAAAGCUAAAGCCAAGGGCAAUGCCUUAAAGCUUAAAGGGUGAACUCUUUGCACUUAAUUGCACCUUAGCAAACAUUCCUUUAGUUACAAAGAAAAUAGAGUAGAAUUCGAAGAGGCUGAUGGGGAGUUUACCUCGAGAGGCGCUAACUGGACAUGUGAGUAAACUCUGGGAGAGUUUAGGUUUAUGUUCUGCAUCGAAUCUGCAGCUGAAAGGCUUGGAUUAGAGAAUACUUCAAGAGUCUCUGACAUCCUGUGGCUUUGUAUGUGAUUAGUGAAAAAAUUAUGGGGUGCUUCUGGGUGCGUCCCUACCUUUCAGAGGCUGACAUGGUAUAAGAAUAUAAUAAGUUCCUUAGUGUCAAAAUUGGAGACUCCCUACUGGAUCCAGAGUGUCUCACCUUUGCAGGUCCUCACUUCUCAUGAGGUGAGUUUAUCCAGGGGGAAAGUAAUUUCUGAAUUCUUAAAGUAAUUGUUGAAUUCUUAAUUGCCCACAUUGUUAUAUGAAAAAGCAGAAGAGAAUGUCCAAACCCUUGAGAUUUAUCAGAUGCUCCUAAUGAAAUCAUAUUAGUAUUAGCAACAAAACAGACACAUUUAGUUAAGUUCCAAUAUAUUUGUUUCUUGACCUGCCAUGAUUCUAUUAGUUUUAAAAAACAC
Acinonyx jubatus (cheetah) is the source of this 3419-nucleotide long non-coding RNA. RefSeq lists it as uncharacterized. The record is from RefSeq and is a predicted model, not a curated record. The transcript is spliced from 3 exons. NCBI's taxonomy places the organism in Eukaryota, Metazoa, Chordata, Mammalia, Carnivora, Felidae.